UUGCGGAUCCUUUGAGAGCCCUUAAUGUGCACAGUAAUUCUCCAAGAAGGGGACAGAAGUCCCUGGGCUUCCCAUGCUUGUUUAGUUUUUAUGGAUCCCUCUGCUGGAUGAGUGUUCACAGGACCACACUUUGUGAAAUACUCAGUCAGCUCUAUCAGCAAAUUAUAUCACGGGAAUUGGUUACUUUCAUUUGGAUGCUUUGCCCAUGUUACCCAGACUUAGGAAAAUAUUUUACAAUUUGGGGUGUAUAUGAGAUAUUUGGGGGCAUUUUCUCCAAUAUCAACUUCCUGCUUCUGAAAUUCAGGUUAAAACACUGACCUAAAUUACGGAAAUCACAAUCUCCUUCACCAUCACCAACAGUGCCACCAUCAUCAAAUCAUGAUCAGCAUCGACCAACACGAUGAUUCCCACUACCACUAUCACAUUAAUAGCACCACUACCAUCCUACCGUGCCCAGCGAGACAACUGCCAUCACGGUCACUAUGACCAACACCAUAUUACCACCGCUGCCACUAAUAUGCCUCAUUGCUAUGCCAAUAAUCACUAACAGCAUUACCACCACACUCCAACUAACCAAUGCUGCUGCCAUCAUUACUGCCAUGAUCUGUACUACCACCACUGCCACUAGUGCAAACAUCACCACUACUGCUGUUAAAGCAGCCACCACCACUGCACCCACUGUCGCCACUGUCCUUUCCACAUCCAGAUGAAGAAAGAAGAAGAGAUAGAAAGCAUAGUUUCAUUAUUCUAGGUCAUAUUCAAAGGUUGGUCACUAGAUAUAAUUGCACAUAUGUUCCCCUAGUUACUAUGGCAUCCCAAUAGCCAUCAAGUGGAACCAGACAUGGUAUCAUAGCAGAAUCCUGAGGUCUAAGGUCUAGUUUAAAUAAGACUUCUGAUCCAAGGUAGGGGUCCCUCAAUUACCUCUAUGACAGGAGGCAAAGAUGUCACACACGACUGCAUGUCAGCUAAACUCAUUGGAAGAUUCAUUUCUGCCUUCAUAAAUGUAGACACUGGGCUUCAGCUAGUUGUAAGGGAGCAGCCCCUGGUGCAAGCCACGUAGCAACUAGAGGGGCUUUAAAAUCAGCACAAAAUUAAGUUUUAUUGCUGCUUUGAGGAAUGUUCAGGUUGGUGGGAGGGGAUUACAGCAGACAAGUGUUUAAUUUACUCAACUAUAUGCUCAAGUUUAUGUAACUGAGCUAUUUUAAAAUUACAUUUUAUGUAUGCAUUGCUGUAUAUAUUGCACAUAUAUAAAUGUACAAUAAUAAUAAAGAGUGGCAUAUAUGAGUCUCAGGAAUUGUGCCAAAGGCUUUACAUAUACUCUCUUUAAUCCUUUUAACUCCUGUAUGAAAGGAGUGUGACUGUCAUUCUCAUUUUCCUAAUGAACAAACUGUGGCAUGAAGAGGUUAAAUAAUUAGCCUAAGCUUACAAAGCUAAUUAAUUGUAAGACUAAGAUCUAAACCCAGGUAGUCUGGUUCCAGGGCCCAUGAUCUUAACCAACACUCUACAUUUUAACACACUGUCUGCACAUUGUCUACACACAGAUGCAGUGUGUGUACAUCAGUUGUAUAAAUAUAUCAUCUUGCAUGAAGUAAUUUAAGGGAUGUUCAAGGAUAUUGUUGAUUAUAUGCAAUUUAUCUCAUGUGCUGAUUUUUAAGCCUAGUCCCAGAGGAAAUGCAAGUUCACUGAAAUCUAAGGGGGGAAAAAAGACACGAAAAACCAACAAGUGCAAAGCAGUGUGGUGCAGAAUGUGGUGGCAGAGCAACAACCACUCUCAGCAAAAUCCUCAUUAAUUCAUGCCACAAAGAAGCCAACUGCUGGUUCUCCA
Molecule: long non-coding RNA, 1825 nt
Organism: Homo sapiens (human)
Lineage: Eukaryota; Metazoa; Chordata; Mammalia; Primates; Hominidae
Gene: COPB2-DT
Product: COPB2 divergent transcript
Source: Ensembl